GCUCAGGACGAACGCUGGCGGCGCGCCUAACACAUGCAAGUCGAACGAGCGAGAGAGAGCUUGCUUUCUCGAGCGAGUGGCGAACGGGUGAGUAACGCGUGAGGAAUCUGCCUCAAAGAGGGGGACAACAAUUGGAAACGACUGCUAAUACCGCAUAAGCCCACGGUGCCGCAUGGCACAGAGGGAAAAGGAGUAAUCCGCUUUGAGAUGGCCUCGCGUCCGAUUAGCUAGUUGGUGAGGUAACGGCCCACCAAGGCGACGAUCGGUAGCCGGACUGAGAGGUUGAACGGCCACAUUGGGACUGAGACACGGCCCAGACUCCUACGGGAGGCAGCAGUA
Molecule: ribosomal RNA, 339 nt
Filed under: uncultured bacterium
Lineage: Bacteria
Description: bacterial SSU rRNA
Rfam family: Bacterial small subunit ribosomal RNA
Source: RNAcentral